GCCUCUGACAACAGCUCUGAGAGGCACUGAUGGGACCCUGGACUGUGGAUGCAGCAGGACACGGGUUCUCUUCGGCCUCGGGGGACCUGCGUGGUGUGUUGGGGACCCGCCCAGACUCAGUGCCCAGACUCCUCAAGGCCUGCCUACCUGGAGGGGGGAGGAAGGCAAGGAGGUGGGGCAGGAUGGAUUGGACGAGCCUUAGCGGCUGCCUGGAGGCCCAGCUGUCUGGGCACACAGGAACGUGCAGGGUGCAUGCGGGGGCCCUGCUCCCUGUCAGUCACAGCUGCAAGGAGGCAGCAGGGGAAGGUGGUGGCUGCACAGGCAUCCAGGGGGAGGCUGACAGGAAGAGGGGUCGCUUGUAACAUAGCAGGCCACCGGCUGAGACCUGCUGAGGGAUGUGCAUUACUCAGAGGGUGGGUCCGGUUCUCAUUUUAGACCCAAAAUAAACUCUCCAGGCCCUGUUGUAGUUGGCUAAUG
Molecule: long non-coding RNA, 477 nt
Filed under: Oryctolagus cuniculus (rabbit)
Lineage: Eukaryota; Metazoa; Chordata; Mammalia; Lagomorpha; Leporidae
Description: lncRNA (ENSOCUG00000035919.1)
Source: RNAcentral